UACGUAGGUGGCAAGCGUUGUCCGGAUUUACUGGGUGUAAAGGGCGUGUAGGCGGGAAGACAGGUCAGAUGUGAAAUGUCGGGGCUCAACCCCGGAACUGCAUUUGAAACCGUUUUUCUUGAGUAUCGGAGAGGCAGGCGGAAUUCCUAGUGUAGCGGUGAAAUGCGUAGAUAUUAGGAGGAACACCAGUGGCGAAGGCGGCCUGCUGGACGACAACUGACGCUGAGGCGCGAAAGCGUGGGGAGCAAAC
This 250-nucleotide ribosomal RNA is filed under the name uncultured prokaryote. RNAcentral describes it as "partial 16S ribosomal RNA". It matches the Rfam family "Bacterial small subunit ribosomal RNA", at positions 524 to 773 of the family's 1533-position model. The record is from RNAcentral.